AGACUCUCUCCACACUACAGAGGCAAAACCUAAGGCUUUGAGAGAUGGAGUCCCAGGCGCAUGGCCCUGAUCUCACUCUCGAAUGUGACAUCUGGAAAAAAAUCAGGAAGAAGCAAAUGCAGAACAAGGCCUGGAUUAGCUGAUCAACAGUGGGAUGGUGUGUUUCCUAAAGCCCAGGAUCUCCACCUCACCCAGGGAAAUGUUGCAGUCUUUUCUGAGUUUAUUUCUACUAUAAGAAUUGCACUAUCAUAUUUGCUAGAGGUCAAAGCAUUUCCUACUUUGGGAAGAUGGAAAAUUUGAUAAACCUAAUACACAAUGAAACUAAUUAUCAGACACAGAAGCCCAGAGGGGUGCAGAGAACAUUUUUCACGCUUUGGCCCUAGAGCCCCAUUUCCCCUUUCUAGAAGCAUCUCACUCUCAGUCCACGAGGUCUGAGUGGGACCUGUCCCCAGCCCUGGGGUGGAAUGCAUGGCUCAGGCCUACAUCAGUUAGUGCACUGCAGUCACCAGCCCCCGUGAUUGGCUCACAAGAGGGCAUGUGAUAGAAGAAGCCUCAUCAGAGCGAACCUUAGGGUUUUUGCAGAGAAGGCUGGGACAGAGAACUUUCCUACUUCCCCCACUGCACAUUAUCCUAAAGGACUUCACCCUGGAAACUUAUGGAGGUCUUCUUGAGAGAAAAGAGAAUGUUAGAAUGGAGGUAACAUAAAGGAAGAAGAGCUAAAAGAUGGAGAGAGCAAAACCAGAUCCCAAGAACACAGCCAAAGCCAGAUGUCCUCCUGGCAUCUCAGUUGUACAAGCUAAUCUGUUGUCUCCCACAUUCCCAACCAUGUGAACUUUUUUUUUUUUUUUGGCUGAGUCUGAUCUAUCACUUGCGACAACUGGCACUAGUGGGGCCCCAUGCACACGCACACAACCACACUCAAUAUUUCUUUCCACAUGCGGAAAGCAGGAUGGUGUCACAGCAGAAGCCCAGGCCUGGAAGGCAAGAGAUCUAGGUCUGUCUGUGGCUUUGUCUCUUUGACAUUCAACUUCUUCAGCUAUAAGGUGGCUGGGGAAGGGGGAGGUUGGACAAAUAAGCUCAAGAUGCCUUCCUGCUCUGACACUCUCUGAAUCUGUCAACCUGAACGUCUUGGUGCUCCUGGGGCCAUUGAGAUUGCUGGAUCCUGAUUCUUUGAAGCAUUUCAUUCAUUAUGGUAAAGAAGGGUUUAAGUGGCCACCAACAGAGAGACGUGAAGUACAUGAAACAAUUAGGUUCUCUGUAUCUCCAGCAGAAUUGGCCCCAGAAGAGGGUCAGGCUUUGCAAAGACACAGAACAUUUUUCCCGCUGGGCUCCUUGGGAAAAGGUCUCAGCAUUAUGGAGGGUGUCUCUGGCUAUUCACAGCUUGCCAGUGGGAACAGCCAAGAAGGAGAAGAGGUCACAUGGCCAGGCCUGCUGCCGGCACAGAGUGUUCUGUGCAGCUGAUGGCUGGGCAGGGAUGAGGUUUGCCCGAUCCCCUGCUGAGGCUUCCUAUGAAAGGUAGGCCUGAGAGUUGCCAAAACAUAUUCUGCAACAGGGUCUAUGAAGGUCACCAUAAAGCAGGAUUCAGACUCCAUAUUAGUUGGUUAUCUCUUCUAUACAGAAUGUUAUGCCAAGCAUUUCUAUAUAUAUUCCUUUUGUUUGUUUGUUUUUGUUUUUGUUUUGAGAGGGAGUCUUGCUCUGUCGCCCAGGCUGGAGUGCAGUGGCGUGAUCUCAGCUGACUGCAAGCUCCACCUCCCGGGUUCAUGCCAUUCUCCCACCUUAGCCUCCGGAGUAGCUGGGACUACAGGCACCCGCCACCAUGCCCUGCUAAUUUUGUUUUUGUAUUUUUAGUAGAGACGGGGUUUCACCAUGUUAGCCAGGAUGGACUCGAUCUCCUGACCUCGUAAUCCACCGGCCUCGGCCUCCCAAAGUGCUGGGAUUACAGGCAUGAGCCACCAUACCGGGCCUGCAUUGUGUAUUUAAACCUCACAACAACCUGGUUGUCCCCUAAUAUCACUUCCAGCUUAUAGGUGUAGAAACCAUAGCUCAAUGAGCUGAAGUUGCAGUAAUUUACCCAUGGUCACACAGUAACAGAACCACAGUUAAUUUCCCUAAAAGAAGACAAGAUAAGGGCUUGCAUGGUGAUCUUGCCAUGCCAUGAACAGGAGCUGCAAACACAGGGAUCAAAACAUGUGCUCCAGUCGCUUCUCACAGCUGCUUUGGUAAACACUCUGAGACAGUGUGUGUCACUUUCUUGACUGGACUGUGAGUUCUUGGACAUCAGGGCCCUGCAUGAUCCAAUUAUAUGUGUCUCCCACAGUUCCUUGCACAAAACAGGAAUGUGAAAAGCAGUUUCUCUCUGGCCAACCACUGACCCCAGAGAAGGAUUGGCCCCAACCAAAGGUCAGCAACUGGAUGUACUUCGGGGCCAAGCAGGCAGUGGAAACACAAGAAAUACCCAGCAAAGUAUGAGACAGAAGUGCGUGGUGGAAGACUAAAGGAACAAAAUGUACGGGACUGGCCUAAGUCAUUCAGGUCAAAAAGUUUCAGAAGGAGUGUACAGCCAAAGAAACGAAAACAAAAACAAAACCAGGAAGACCGAAUGGGGCCCCAGAGCAUCAGCUUACAGCCCUCACUAUGACUCCACCCCGACCAUUUAGUUUGAUGUGGAAUUGACAGGUAUCCCUCCCACACUGUAACUCCAGUCUUCCAAGAUGGAGACCAUGGCUGAGACACUUUAUGUCUGGUUCUCAUUUAACGCAGCAUGUGGCACAGAGUAGAUAUUUAGUAAAUGUUUGCCAAAUAAGCUCUUAAAAUUAAAUUUUUCCAAACUGGUAUAAGCCUCGCGACGACAAAGAUGUGUGAGGAAAGCUACUGACUUAGUUUCCACUGACUUAGUUUUUCUAGUUUCACUGGAAACCAGAAUGUUGAUUGUGUUGUUUGGAUGGAGAACCACCCAUAGCAAGUGUCUGUAUGUAUCAUAAUACCUAGAGGAUCUUUUGGAUAACUGGUUGGCCUCCAUACUCUAAAAUAAGAAAUAUAUACAGCUCUUAAUUCUGUAAGAUAUCUAAUCAAUCACUGAUUCACUCAACAGGGAUGACACUGAGAUGAUAAUGGUGAGAAAAAAACAGAUGUAACUGCCUUUCCUUGUGGAACUUAUGGUCUAGUAAUCAGCUAAUCACAUAAAUAAAUGCAAAAUCAUAGUACAACAAGUGCUCAGAAGCAUAUAGCACUUUAAGAGGCCUGGUUUGGGAGGAUCAAGGAAGUAAUGCAUGUGUUGGCUAAAGAGGAGAAAAACCAGCAGAUUCAAGUCCCCUGUGGAAAAAGUAGACUUUUCCCUGUGGAAAAGCAAAGAAGAGGAUGUGUAAGGCCGACGUGGCCAAGCCCUGGAGGAAGUGAGCAUAUGGUUUAAGAGGCUGAUAGAGGUCAGACCAUUCCCAGUUUGUAGGCUUUGGAAAGAAUCCUUGUCUUUGUCCUAAGAGCAAUGCGGUGUAUCUACUCUGCUAGAGAAAAAGAAUAGUCGAAUAAUGCUAUAGUUCUCCCUUCCUCUAACCUGCACUCUUUACACAGGCUUUUAUGUUGCUGCCCACCUUCUCUCUAUGUGGGAUGUGGCAAGGGAAACAUGUUUUAAACUCUUGAAGAUGUAAAAGUUAUUUCCUUCUUAGAGUCUGAGCUGCAAAUGGCAUUUCUCUCUUAGUGUACCACGACAUUGCCACAGAAACACCAUUAGAUACCCCUCUGGGAGCAGAAGCUCAGAGCCCUACCAUUAGUUACUUUAUGUCCAGUAUCACAUCAGCCAGCAGUUUCUCAUCUUUUGGAUUAAGCAGACCACAUUUUAACCUAAAAAAUAUAGGUGUCCCAAUUAAUACUACUUAUCCUUUAGAAAUUCUGAUACAAAACCUUUCACAUAGCACUAAAAUAAGAGGAAUACUUAGGUAUAAACCUAACAAAAUAUGUACAUGAUCUAUAUGUGGAAAACUGUAAAACCCUGAUGAAAGAAAUCAAAGAGCUAAAUAAAUGUACAUGGCUAGAAAAACUCAAUAUUGUCAACAUGUCAGUUCUUCUCAAAUUAAUCUAUAAAUUCAACCCAAUCCCAGUUAAAAUCGUAGCAAGUUACUUUGUGGAUAUCAACAAACCGAUUUUAAAGUUUAUGUGGAAAGGCCAAAGGCUUCAGAGCAGCCAAUACAAGCUUAAAGAAGAACAAAUUUGGAGGAUUGACACUAUCUUAACUGAAAGACUUACUAUAAGGUUACAGUAAUCAAGACAGUAGGACUGGCAAAAGAAUAGGAAAAAAAAUCAACAGAACAGAAUAUAGAGCCCAGAAAUAGACCCACACAUGAAAAAUCAACUGAUCUUUGACAAAAGAGCAAAGGCAAUUCAAUGCAGAAACAAUAGUCAUAUCAACAAAUGGUGCCAGAACAACUGGACAUCUACAUGCAAGAAAGUGAAUCUAGACAUAGAACUUACACCUUUCACAAAAUAUCAAUUCAAAAUGGGUCAUAGACCUAAGUGCAAAACACAAAACUAUAAAACUCUUAGAAGAUAACAUAAGAGAAAAUCUUGAUGACGUUGAGGUUGAUGAUGAUUUCCUAGAAACAAUGCCAAAAACACAGCCUAUAAAAGAAAGAAUUGUUAAGUUACACUUUAUUAAAACUAAAAACUUCUACUCUGUGAAAGGCACUAUUAAAAGAAUAAAGAAACAAAUCACAGACUGGGAGAAAAUAUUUGCAAAACACAUAUCUGGUAAAGGACGGUUAUUCAAAAUAUACAAAGAACAGUUAGAACUCCAGAAUAAGGAAACAAACAAUGCAAUUUAAAAAUGGGCAAAAUAUCUGAACAUUCACCUCACCAAAGAAGAUAUACUGAUGGAAAAUAUGUAUUUAUAAGAUGUUGCACAUCAUACAUCAUUGGGGAAUUACAAAUUAAAAUAACAAAGACAUAUUAGCACCUACCUAUUAGAAUAAAGAUAACUCAAGAAACUGACAACCAAACGCUGAUGAGGAUGUGGAGCAAUAGUAACUCUUAUUCUCUGUUAGUGGGAAUGCAAAAUGAAAUAGACACUUUGAAAGACAGCUUGGCAGUUUCUUACAAAAUUAAAUAUACUCUUACCAUACAAUCCACCAAUCACAUUCCUUGGUAUUUAAUCAAAUGAGUUGAAAACUUAUGUCCAUACGAAAACCUGCAUAUGGAUGUUUACAGCAGUCUUAUUCAUAAUUACUAAAACUUGGAAGCAACCAAGAUGUCCUUCUAUAGGAGAAUGGAUAAACAAAUUGUGGUAUAUCUAUACAGUGGAAUAUUAUUUAGCAAUAAAAAAUGAGCUAGCAAUCCAUGAAAAAAUAUGGAGGAAACGUACAUGCAUACCACUAAUUUUUUUAAAGCCAAUCUGAAAAUGCUACAUUCUGCAUGAUACUGUCUAUAUUACAUUCUGGAAAAGGCAAAACUAUGAAAGCACUAAAAAUAUCAGGUGUUCAGGGGAGAGAGGAAGGGAUAAAUUGGUGGAGUACAGGGGACUUUUAAGGCAGUGAAACUAUUCUGUGUCUAUAAUAGUGGAUGCUAUAAUGGUGGGUACAUGUCAUUACACAUUUAUCAAAACCUGUAGAAUAUUCAACACAAAGAGUAAACCAUAAUGUAAACUAUAGACUUGAAUUAAUAACACUGCAACAAUAUUGACUCAUCAACUGUAACAAAUAUACCACAUUAAUCCAAAAAGUUAAUAAUAGGGGAGGCUGGGGAGAGAGGUAGGACAAGGAAGUGUAUGAGAAAUCUAUACUUUCUGCUCAAUUUUUCUGUAAAACUAAAAUUGCUCAAAAAAUAAAGUAUGUUAAUUA
RNAcentral lists this long non-coding RNA (5825 nucleotides) under Homo sapiens (human). RNAcentral describes it as "HSALNT0316996". The record is from RNAcentral. Lineage: Eukaryota; Metazoa; Chordata; Mammalia; Primates; Hominidae.